This 232-nucleotide unclassified non-coding RNA is filed under the name plant metagenome. RNAcentral describes it as "partial contains small subunit ribosomal RNA, internal transcribed spacer 1, and 5.8S ribosomal RNA". The record is from RNAcentral.
UUUCCGUAGGUGAACCUGCGGAAGGAUCGUUAAUUAUAUAAGGCCAUAGGGCAAGCUUUCCGAAAGGAUCGAGCUUGCUGUGUGAACCCUACCUACCCUUGCUUUUUGCGUACCCAUUGUUUCCUCGGCAGGCUUGCCUGCCAGUAGGAACCUCUUAAACCCUUUGUAAUUGCAGUCAGCGUCAGAGACAACGUAAUCGUUACAACUUUCAACAACGGAUCUCUUGGUUCUG